UGGAUCAGUCGGUGGCUGAGAGGUUGAAGAAGAUCUAUUGUGGUUAAUGCCCGGUUCUGCAUGAUGCAUUUUUCAAAUAUCAGACUAAACCAAAGCUUACAACACAUGGUGAUUUGUAUCAAGAAGGAAAAGAGUUUGAGGUCAAACUGAGGGAAAUGAAACCAGGAAUGAUGUCAUAUGAACUUAAAGAAGCUCUUGGCAUGCCAGAUGGUGCUCCUCCUCCUUGGCUUAUUAAUACGCAGAGAUACGGUACUCCACCAUCUUACCCACGUCUGAAAAUACCAGGACUUAAUGCUCCUAUUCCUCCUGGAGCCAGCUUUGAUUAUCAUCCUGGAGGUUGGGGAAAACCUCCUGUUGAUGAAGUAAGUUCAGCGAUACCUUUUUAUUAACAUUUUACAGGUAAUACCUGAGGUUCUGGAAGAGAAGGAAGAGAGAGUUGCUCCUGGGACUCUGCUUGGAACAACUCACACUUAUCUGCUUACUGAUAAAGACAAAGACAAAGCAGCUGCUGCUAAAAGGGUA
This is a long non-coding RNA of Asparagus officinalis (garden asparagus), 522 nucleotides long. RefSeq lists it as uncharacterized. Lineage: Eukaryota; Viridiplantae; Streptophyta; Magnoliopsida; Asparagales; Asparagaceae. The transcript has 5 exons. The record is from RefSeq and is a predicted model, not a curated record.